This 258-nucleotide long non-coding RNA is filed under the name Brassica napus (rape). RNAcentral's name for it is "long non-coding RNA (BNAP_LNC010010)". The record is from RNAcentral. Lineage: Eukaryota; Viridiplantae; Streptophyta; Magnoliopsida; Brassicales; Brassicaceae.
UACAUGCUCAAUGUCAACAGACCAAUGCUAUUGUCUUCUUAUGAGAAAUACAUAUAUUCGUUUUAAGGCACAAAUACUAAUUGUCACUCAUUUUAUAAUUAUUUCUACAAGCCUUCAUGUAUUUGUUUUAAAGGUCCGGCAAAAGCAACAAGUUUAAAAAAAAAAAAUAUAACCAACAUAAUAAGAAUAAAAAAAAAAUUAUUACUUAAUACACACGACAUACACAACUAAACUGGAGAAAAAAUAUUCAGAAACAAA